GAUCUGUGUGGUUAGAGCAUCUGCUUUGCAUGCAGAAGGUCCCAGGUUCAAUCCCUGAUGGCAUCGCCA
Molecule: transfer RNA, 69 nt
Filed under: Podarcis lilfordi (Lilford's wall lizard)
Lineage: Eukaryota; Metazoa; Chordata; Lepidosauria; Squamata; Lacertidae
Description: tRNA.Ala
Rfam family: tRNA
About the family: Transfer RNA (tRNA) molecules are approximately 80 nucleotides in length. Their secondary structure includes four short double-helical elements and three loops (D, anti-codon, and T loops).
Source: RNAcentral